GCCCGGAUGGCGGAAUCGGUAGACGCGCUGGUCUCAAACACCAGUGGUAGCAAUACCGUGCCGGUUCGACCCCGGCUCCGGGUA
Molecule: transfer RNA, 84 nt
Filed under: Bacteroidales bacterium
Lineage: Bacteria; Pseudomonadati; Bacteroidota; Bacteroidia; Bacteroidales
Also listed under: 1 other name
Description: tRNA-Leu
Rfam family: tRNA
About the family: Transfer RNA (tRNA) molecules are approximately 80 nucleotides in length. Their secondary structure includes four short double-helical elements and three loops (D, anti-codon, and T loops).
Source: RNAcentral